This 495-nucleotide ribosomal RNA is filed under the name uncultured beta proteobacterium. Its description in RNAcentral is "bacterial SSU rRNA". It matches the Rfam family "Bacterial small subunit ribosomal RNA", at positions 898 to 1397 of the family's 1533-position model. Lineage: Bacteria; Pseudomonadati; Pseudomonadota; Betaproteobacteria. The record is from RNAcentral.
AACUUAAAGGAAUUGGCGGGGGCCUGCACAAGCGGUGGAGCAUGUGGUUUAAUUCGAAGCAACGCGCAGAACCUUACCAGCGUUUGACAUGGUAGGACGGUUACCAGAGAUGGUUCCCUUCCCUUACGGGACCUACACACAGGUGCUGCAUGGCUGUCGUCAGCUUGUGUCGUGAGAUGUUGGGUCAAGUCCCGCAACGAGCGCAACCCUUGUCAUUAGUUGCUACGAAAGGGCACUCUAAUGAGACUGCCGGUGACAAACCGGAGGAAGGUGGGGACGACGUCAGGUCAUCAUGGCCCUUAUGGGUAGGGCUACACACGUCAUACAAUGGCCGGGACAGAGGGCUGCCAACCCGCGAGGGGGAGCUAAUCCCAGAAACUCGGUCGUAGUCCGGAUCGUAGUCUGCAACACGACUGCGUGAAGUCGGAAUCGCUAGUAAUCGCGGAUCAGCUUGCCGCGGUGAAUACGUUCCCGGGUCUUGUACACACCGCCCGU